This 21-nucleotide non-coding RNA is filed under the name Caenorhabditis elegans. The record is from RNAcentral. Lineage: Eukaryota; Metazoa; Nematoda; Chromadorea; Rhabditida; Rhabditidae.
UACCUUUUGAACGUCAUUCUA